This 24-nucleotide non-coding RNA is filed under the name Arabidopsis thaliana (thale cress). Lineage: Eukaryota; Viridiplantae; Streptophyta; Magnoliopsida; Brassicales; Brassicaceae. The record is from RNAcentral.
AGCUAAAAAAUGUCUGUCAUCGGU